Molecule: ribosomal RNA, 1000 nt
Filed under: uncultured organism
Description: bacterial SSU rRNA
Rfam family: Bacterial small subunit ribosomal RNA
Source: RNAcentral
GGGGGAUAUUGCGCAAUGGGGGCAACCCUGACGCAGCAACGCCGCGUGAAGGAUGAAGGUUUUCGGAUUGUAAACUUCUUUUAUUAAGGACGAAACUUGACGGUACUUAAUGAAUAAGCUCCGGCUAACUACGUGCCAGCAGCCGCGGUAAUACGUAGGGAGCAAGCGUUGUCCGGAUUUACUGGGUGUAAAGGGUGCGUAGGCGGCUUUGCAAGUCAGAUGUGAAAUCUAUGGGCUCAACCCAUAAACUGCAUUUGAAACUGUAGAGCUUGAGUGGAGUAGAGGCAGGCGGAAUUCCCCGUGUAGCGGUGAAAUGCGUAGAGAUGGGGAGGAACACCAGUGGCGAAGGCGGCCUGCUGGGCUUUAACUGACGCUGAGGCACGAAAGCGUGGGUAGCAAACAGGAUUAGAUACCCUGGUAGUCCACGCUGUAAACGAUGAUUACUAGGUGUGGGGGGUCUGACCCCUUCCGUGCCGGAGUUAACACAAUAAGUAAUCCACCUGGGGAGUACGGCCGCAAGGUUGAAACUCAAAGGAAUUGACGGGGGCCCGCACAAGCAGUGGAGUAUGUGGUUUAAUUCGAAGCAACGCGGAGAACCUUACCAGGUCUUGACAUCCAACUAACGAAGUAGAGAUACAUUAGGUGCCCUUCGGGGAAAGUUGAGACAGGUGGUGCAUGGUUGUCGUCAGCUCGUGUCGUGAGAUGUUGGGUUAAGUCCCGCAACGAGCGCAACCCUUGCUAUUAGUUGCUACGCAAGAGCACUCUAAUAGGACUGCCGUUGACAAAACGGAGGAAGGUGGGGACGACGUCAAAUCAUCAUGCCCCUUAUGACCUGGGCUACACACGUACUACAAUGGAUGUUAACAGAGGGAAGCAAGACAGCGAUGUGGAGCAAACCCCUAAAAACAUUCUCAGUUCAGAUUGCAGGCUGCAACCCGCCUGCAUGAAGAUGGAAUUGCUAGUAAUCGCGGAUCAGCAUGCCGCGGUGAAUACGUUCCCG